UACGGGAGGCAGCAGUGGGGAAUAUUGCACAAUGGGCGAAAGCCUGAUGCAGCUAUGCCGCGUGUAUGAAGAAGGCCUUAGGGUUGUAAAGUACUUUCAUCGGGGAGGAAAAACAAAACUAAUAAUUUUAUUUCUUGACGUUACCCGAAAAAGAAGCACCGGCUAACUCCGUGCCAGCAGCCGCGGUAAUACGGAGGGUGCUAGCGUUAAUCAGAAUUACUGGGCGUAAAGAGCACGUAGGUGGUUUUUUUAAGUCAGAUGUGAAAUCCCUGGGCUUAACCUGGAACUGCAUUUUGAAACUGAAAUACUAGAGUAUCGUAGAGGGAGGUAGAAUUCUAGGUGUAGCGGUGAAAUGCGUAGAUAUCUGGAGGAAUACCUGUGGCGAAAGUGGCCUCCUAAACGAAUACUGACACUGAGGUGCGAAAGCGUGGGGAGCAAACAGGGAUUAGAUACC
RNAcentral lists this ribosomal RNA (454 nucleotides) under uncultured bacterium. RNAcentral's name for it is "bacterial SSU rRNA". It matches the Rfam family "Bacterial small subunit ribosomal RNA", at positions 340 to 786 of the family's 1533-position model. The record is from RNAcentral.